UAGGGAAUCUUCGGCAAUGGACGAAAGUCUGACCGAGCAACGCCGCGUGAGUGAAGAAGGUUUUCGGAUCGUAAAACUCUGUUGUUAGAGAAGAACAAGGACGUUAGUAACUGAACGUCCCCAGACGGUAUCUAACCAGAAAGCCACGGCUAACUACGUGCCAGCAGCCGCGGUAAUACGUAGGUGGCAAGCGUUGUCCGGAUUUAUUGGGCGUAAAGCGAGCGCAGGCGGUUUCUUAAGUCUGAUGUGAAAGCCCCCGGCUCAACCGGGGAGGGUCAUUGGAAACUGGGAGACUUGAGUGCAGAAGAGGAGAGUGGAAUUCCAUGUGUAGCGGUGAAAUGCGUAGAUAUAUGGAGGAACACCAGUGGCGAAGGCGGCUCUCUGGUCUGUAACUGACGCUGAGGCUCGAAAGCGUGGGGAGCAAACAGG
RNAcentral lists this ribosomal RNA (429 nucleotides) under Gemmatimonadota bacterium. RNAcentral's name for it is "Gemmatimonadetes bacterium partial 16S ribosomal RNA". It matches the Rfam family "Bacterial small subunit ribosomal RNA", at positions 355 to 776 of the family's 1533-position model. Lineage: Bacteria; Pseudomonadati; Gemmatimonadota. The record is from RNAcentral.